Molecule: long non-coding RNA, 2814 nt
Filed under: Nicotiana benthamiana
Lineage: Eukaryota; Viridiplantae; Streptophyta; Magnoliopsida; Solanales; Solanaceae
Description: long non-coding RNA (NBEN_LNC038391)
Source: RNAcentral
AGAAGUAGAAGUGCAAACAACCUCCUUCCUUUCGAUCCCGAAAUUUAGUAAACACUUCACAAAUUGAGGAGGGAGGUGGACGCUAGAGCCAAAUAUGAAAGAGAGUUGAACAUAGUAGUUUAUCCAUAGCGAAUUGAGACGGCAUGUAAUGAGGAACGAGCGGUGAUUGAAGCCGAACGGCCCAAUGUGGCUAAUACGACUCAGGCUAUUGUGAAGCCUGACAUAACUGGGCACUUUGAGUUGAAGCAAUACAUGGUGCUGCUGAUCCAAAAUGCAGGGCUGUUCAUGGGUUUGCCUCAUGAAGACCCACAGUGGUACAUCCAGAAUUUCUUGGAAAUUACGGAUACAUACAACUAUCCGAACGUUUCCAAGGACUAUGUCACACUGACAUUCUUCUCUUUUUCACUGAUUGGGGACGCUAAGGAGUGGUUGAAUGAGAAGCCAGAUUUUUCCACACCAGAAAGACAAAGGUGUUGAGGAGUCAGAUUCUUAGGUUCGAACAACGAGCUGGCGAGACACUUCGUCAAGCAUGGGAAAGAUACAGGAAGAUGCUCAGGGAUUGUCCUCAUCAUUGUCAGAAAGACGAGGUGUUGGGUCAAAGAUGAACCUAGACUCAGCUUGUGGGGGUAGUUUCAUGGCCAGACCAUACAGUGAAAUCCAAACCUUUCUGAAUACUUUCACAGCUAAUGAUAACAACUGGCAGGGUGAGGGUGAUUCACGAAGGGCAGUUAAGCAGAAAUCAGCUGGAGUACUUGAACUAGACGAUGUUUCAGCCAUGAGAGAUGAAUUAGCAAAGAUUUCCAAUCAGAUGUCUUGAACGGCAAUGCAACCACCACAACCAAUGAAAUAUGUACACCAAAUGGCUAUUUGCUGCGAGUUAUGUGGUGAAAAUCAUAUGAGAGACAUGUGCCUCACCAAUCCAGAAUCAAUCUAUUAUGUGGGGCAACAACACAGAGGGCCACCAAAGCAGCAAGCACAGUAUGCGAAUUCUUACAAUCCGAGUUGGAGAAAUCAUCCCAACUUCUCAUGGGGUGGAAAUCAGCCAAAUCAAAAUCAGAACAGACCUCAAGGGGGUUUCAACCAGCCUCAGAAGCCACCACAGCAAAUGAAAGAAAGCACCACCAAUUUGUUAAAGAAGUUGUUGAGUGGAACUCAACAGAUAAUGACUUAAAAUCAACAGAUGAAGACUGACAAUAAGCAACUCCGAAUUGACUUCAGAAAAUCUUGAGAGGCAGCUGGGACAAUUGGCCACUAAUCAAAACACUAGACCUGCAGGCGCCCUCCCCAGUGACACAGAAAAGAAUCUACAAGUGAAUGUUGUUACACUUCGAAACGGGAGAGAGCUUGAGGAAUUACCAAAGAAAAUGAGAGAUAAGCCUGCGCCUGUGGGAGAGUUGAUCCCUAAAGUGACAAAUGAGCCAAAGACGGGUGAUGAAAUUCCAGAGCCAGUGAAGGCCCCAAGGCCACCACCAGCUUUCCCCCGGAGAUUGCAAAAGAAAAAUGAUGAUCGUAUGUUCAGAAAAUUCCUCUCCAUGUUGAGCCAGGUUCAAUUGAAUAUACCAUUGGUUGAUGUGCUUCGCGAAAUUCCAAAAUAUGCUAAGUACAUAAAGGACAUAAUGGCUCAUACGAGGAGGCUGACUGAGUUUGAGACAGUUUCACUUACUGAGGAGUGCACGUCCAGGGUCCAAAAUAAGCUUUCUCAAAAGCUUAAAGAUCCUGGCAGCUUUAUGAUCCCUGUACGCAUUGGUAAUAUUGAUGUUGGCCGUGCUCUUUGUGAUUUGGGGGAAAGAAUAAAUCUGAUGCCCCUGUCUUUGUUCAAACAAUUGGGUUUUGGCGCCCCCAGACCCACUAUUGUGAUGUUGCAACUGGAUGACAUGUUAAAAGAACACUCUGAAGGGGUGAUUGAAGAUGCAUUACUGCAGAUUGGGAAAUUUAUCUUCCCUACAGAUUUCAUUAUCCUCGAUUAUGAGGCUGAUGAGAUGGUCCCAAUCAUAUUGGGGUGACCUUUCUUGGCUACUGGUGACACCAUUAUCAAGUUGAGAGAGGGAAAGAUGAUCUUGAGGGUAGAAGACGAGGAAGCAGUUUUCAAUGUUUACAAAGCAAUUCAGCUUCCCUGUCGUUAUGAGGAGCUCUCCGUGAUAUCUUUUGUAGAGGAUGAUGAGCAAAUUUAUGACCCAAGUGUUUAUCUAGACGAUUCUCUAGAGAAAGCACUCAUGUAGUAGUUUGGGGGUUGAUUUUCCCUGUCAUUAUGAGGAGCUCUCCAUGAUAUAUGUUGUUCAAGAUGAUGAGCAAAUUUAUGACCCAAGUGUUUAUCUAGAUGAUUCUCUAGAUAAAGCACUCAUGAUGUUUGAUAGUUUGGGGGUUGAUGAGGAGGUAGAAGAGAUGAUGCAUAUCCUUGAUACAUCAUGUGCAUACACGAGGGGGACAUACCCGUUUGAACCCUUGGACAGGUCAGAGGGACCUCCUCCAAAGCCGUCGAUAGAAGAAGCACCAAAAUUGGAGCUUAAACCGCUCCCAUAUCACCUACAAUAUUCUUACUUGGGUGAAUCUGACACCCUACCUGUUAUUGUUUCUUCUGACUUGUCUAAAUUGUAGGAGGAAAAGAUGUUAAGAGUGCUACACGAGCACAAGCAUGCACUUGGAUAGACUAUGUCUGACAUCAAGGGCAUUAGUCUAGCCUUUUACAUGCACAAAAUUCUCAUGGAGGAGGGACAUAAGCCCAGUGUUGAGCAACAACGCCUACUCAAUCCGAUCAUGAAAGAGGUGGUAAGAAAAGAAGUGAUUAAGUGGCUUGAUGCAGGUAUUGUAUUUCCC